RNAcentral lists this ribosomal RNA (451 nucleotides) under uncultured bacterium. RNAcentral's name for it is "bacterial SSU rRNA". It matches the Rfam family "Bacterial small subunit ribosomal RNA", at positions 8 to 461 of the family's 1533-position model. The record is from RNAcentral.
AGAGUUUGAUCCUGGCUCAGAUUGAACGCUGGCGGAAUGCUUUACACAUGCAAGUCGAACGGCAGCACGGGGGCAACCCUGGUGGCGAGUGGCGAACGGGUGAGUAAUGUAUCGGAACGUACCCAGUCGUGGGGGAUAACUAUCCGAAAGGAUAGCUAAUACCGCAUACGUCCUGAGGGAGAAAGCGGGGGAUCGCAAGACCUCGCGCGAUUGGAGCGGCCGAUAUCGGAUUAGCUAGUUGGUGAGGUAAAGGCUCACCAAGGCGACGAUCCGUAGCGGGUCUGAGAGGACGACCCGCCACACUGGAACUGAGACACGGUCCAGACUCCUACGGGAGGCAGCAGUGGGGAAUUUUGGACAAUGGGCGCAAGCCUGAUCCAGCCAUUCCGCGUGAGUGAAGAAGGCCUUCGGGUUGUAAAGCUCUUUCAGCGGGGACGAAACGGUCAGCUCU